RNAcentral lists this ribosomal RNA (480 nucleotides) under Sesamia sp. SEETG5415. RNAcentral describes it as "partial 16S large subunit ribosomal RNA". Lineage: Eukaryota; Metazoa; Arthropoda; Insecta; Lepidoptera; Noctuidae. RNAcentral also lists the same sequence under 27 other names. The record is from RNAcentral.
UGUCUUUUUGAAAAUAAUAUAAAGUCUAAUCUGCCCACUGAUUUAAUAUUAAAGGGCUGCAGUAUAUUGACUGUACAAAGGUAGCAUAAUCAUUAGUCAUUUAAUUGGUGACUUGUAUGAAGGAUUGGAUGAAAUAUAAACUGUCUCUUAAUUAUUGUGUUAGAAUUUAAUUUUUUAAUUAAAAAGUUAAAAUAUAUUAAAAAGACGAGAAGACCCUAUAGAGUUUUAUGAAUUAAAUUAAUUAAGAUUAUUUGUAAGAAUUAAAAUUAAAAUUAAUUUAUUUAUUUUGUUGGGGUGACAGAAAAAUAUAAUAAACUUUUUAUAUAUUUAAAACAUUAAUAAGUGAUUAAAUGAUCCAAUAUUAUUGAUUAUAAGAAAAAAUUACCUUAGGGAUAACAGCGUAAUUUUUUUUUUUAGUUCAUAUAAAAAAAAAAGUUUGCGACCUCGAUGUUGGAUUAAGAUAAAAUUUAAAUGCAGAAG